RNAcentral lists this ribosomal RNA (120 nucleotides) under uncultured bacterium. RNAcentral's name for it is "partial 16S ribosomal RNA". It matches the Rfam family "Bacterial small subunit ribosomal RNA", at positions 28 to 155 of the family's 1533-position model. The record is from RNAcentral.
GACGAACGCUGGCGGCGUGCCUAAUGCAUGCAAGUCGCACGCAGAGAGCUUGCUCUCUGAGUGGCGCACGGCUGAGGAUCACGUGGGAACAUGCCUCCUUGUGGGGGACAACACCGCGAA